GACGAACGCUGGCGGCGUGCUUAACACAUGCAAGUCGAGCGGUAAGGCCCUUUCGGGGGUACACGAGCGGCGAACGGGUGAGUAACACGUGGGUGACCUGCCCUCAGCUCUGGGAUAAGCCUGGGAAACCGGGUCUAAUACCGGAUAUGACUCCAUGACGCAUGUUGUGGGGUGGAAAGCCUUGUGCGGCUGAGGAUGGGCCCGCGGCCUAUCAGCUUGUUGGUGGGGUGAUGGCCUACCAAGGCGACGACGGGUAGCCGGCCUGAGAGGGCGACCGGCCACACUGGUACUGAGACACGGCCCAGACUCCUACGGGAGGCAGCAGGUGGGGAAUCUUGCGCAA
This 343-nucleotide ribosomal RNA is filed under the name uncultured bacterium. Its description in RNAcentral is "bacterial SSU rRNA". It matches the Rfam family "Bacterial small subunit ribosomal RNA", at positions 28 to 371 of the family's 1533-position model. The record is from RNAcentral.